GACGAACGCUGGCGGCGUGCCUAAUACAUGCAAGUCGAGCGGACGGAUGGGAGCUUGCUCCCAGACCGUCAGCGGCGGACGGGUGAGUAACACGUGGGCAACCUGCCUGUAAGACUGGGAUAACUCCGGGAAACCGGGGCUAAUACCGGAUAACUCUUUCCCUCACAUGAGGGAAAGCUGAAAGAUGGCAUCUCGCUAUCACUUACAGAUGGGCCCGCGGCGCAUUAGCUAGUUGGUGAGGUAACGGCUCACCAAGGCGACGAUGCGUAGCCGACCUGAGAGGGUGAUCGGCCACACUGGGACUGAGACACGGCCCAGACUCCUACGGGAGGCAGCAGUAGGGAAUCUUCCGCAAAGGACGAAAGUCUGACGGAGCAACGCCGCGUGAGUGAUGAAGGUGUUCGGAUCGUAAAACUCUGUUGUCAGGGAAGAACAAGUACCGGAGCAACUGCCGGUACCUUGACGGUACCUGACCAGAAAGCCACGGCUAACUACGUG
This 498-nucleotide ribosomal RNA is filed under the name uncultured bacterium. Its description in RNAcentral is "partial 16S ribosomal RNA". It matches the Rfam family "Bacterial small subunit ribosomal RNA", at positions 28 to 507 of the family's 1533-position model. The record is from RNAcentral.